UUUUGGAAAGUAAAGAGAGAACUGGGGAUAAAGGUAUAAAGUGGGAAAGAAAGGGGAAAUCAACCAACUCUAAUAACCACCCCCUGAGUCAUUUCCCACAUCCUCCUCUUCUUCCGGCUCCUCUUUUGGAUCCUCCUCCGGGUCUUCCUCAAACUCCACCUCAUCAUCAUUGAAUUUUGGCUCCUCCGCUGGAUCUUGUUAUGGCUCUGUACUAGAAUCUAUUUGGAUGCACUCCACUACCCGGUCAUCGUCUUCAGCAUGUGGCAACAUGUAGUCAAUGGAUCUUAGGACUACUUGACGGUGCAUUGAAGUGGUCACAAGGUAAUGUGGCAGGAUCUCAUGGUAAAUCUACAAAGCAACCACCGCGUCCUCUAACCAGGCUAUACCCUCUCUGCUUGGCCGGGCCAGCUCUUUUUCCUCAUCGAUCUAGACAUAAUACACAGGAGUACACCACGAGUUUUUACCCAUAGGCAUAGUCCAGAGUACCAAAUGAAAGUAGAUCGAUUUUUUUUCAUUCCUGAAGAGGUGCAUAUCUUGCCCGGAUCUUCUUCCAUAAUGGUACGGAACAAUAGUAUCAUUGGGGUAGAUACACAAAUCACCUUAAAUCUAAGAAGCCGAGUCGGUGGGUUGGUCCGGGUGGAGAGAAAAAAAAAUGAAUUGAACUUAAAAUCUUUUCUGGAGAUAUCCAUUUUCCUGGAGAGACAGAUAAGAUAUCUCGACAUACUGGCAUUUUGAUACCACCAGGAACAGGAAAAAGACAUUCCAAGGAAUCCAAAAAAGUGAAAAAUAUAAUUAUGCUAAAUAGGUUUAACUCAAGUGUAUAGGCUAAAGUUAGCAUCUGAACCUGAAGUAGUCAUACUCAGCUUAAAAUUAUCAUUUUGGCUACAACAAGAAUGAUCGGGUUCUACUUUUAUGGAAGAUAUCUUAUUGACAACUGAAUGUAAGCUUUACAAAGUCAAGCGGCAACAUUAAAGAGAUUAAAAAUAGAAAAGCACUACAUCAUAUAGAUUUUGACUUAAACAUGUAAUUGAAGGUUUUACCUAAACACGAGACAACUAAGUUCAGCUUAACAAUACUUUUUCAUACAGAAGAACCCAAUAAUUAGACACAAUCAUGAGACUGUCAUAGUGAUAGCCCAAAAGUUGCCCUCGGAGUUAGCAGAUACAGGUAUAGAGAAGGAAAGUAUCUAAACACUUAGAUUUUUCAUACCACAGUUAAAUGGUAGAUGAUAUGAACUCAUGAACUUUUCAAGUGAUCUCAAUUAGGAUUAUCAAAUAAUAAACUUAACCACAAGAUAAACAAAAGGCAGGGAAACAAUAUGUAGAGGCAAAGAUCACAAUAGAAUCAGCACUGAAAAAAAACUAUGAAGUUAAGAUAAAGAUGAGCAGUCAUUUAAAGCACAUUAAGGGAAAUUAAUCAUGUAGACUAUUUAGACUCAGAAAUGAAAGUCAUUUGAGAUCACAUAACAGCUUGAUCAACAUUGAUUAAAGAUUCAGAAACAUGACAAGCAAUCAUAAGUGGGAAACAUCUCAUCAUAAACAAAAAAAAUAACAUUUCUAUAUUGGUUAUAAGGCAUCAUAAAUGACUAUAGUUCUCAAAAGACAACAAGCAUGUUUAUAAUGUUCAGAUAAGACGAACAUAAGAGAAAAGUUAGAGGUAUACUAUCCUUUUCUAGGGCAGCAGACCAAACAAGGAUAUCUCUUUGUUGCUUAAGACCCCAAAACUUCAAGCUCGAAGCAUCGAAAGUACAGAAACGAAAAAGGGAAAUCACUAAGAAAACCUAGGUUUCUUAAUCUCAGAAUUGAUCUUAGAUGAUUGUUCUUUCAUCUAAUUAGUAAUUCUAGGUUGUGGUAGAUGAUUGUGUAGGUGUUGUUAGGUGAGAACAUUAAAAGCCCCCUUUUCUAGUGCCAUUAAGGCUCUAGGGUUUCAAUCGGAUUCAAAAUUGUGAGUGAAAAGUGAUGAAAGAUUGAUGAUGAUAGCAAAAUCAAGUGAAAAUCUGAGAGACAGAGGGAAAAAAUGGUGAACAAGUUACCUGAGUGAAAAAGCUGACCGUUAAAGGUAAAACCCAUCGGUUAAAGCUCCAAUGUCCAGAGGUCAUUGCAUUUGACCUCUGGACUUCGAAUAAUCAUGAUGAGGCUCUAAAACGUGCACAUGCAUGCUCCGAUUCAAUAGAACAUGAAGGAAAUUCAUAAAUUUGAAGUUUCACAUUUUGAUAUGUGAUUUCAUAAUUAGGGAUUUUGAAAUUUCAUCGGUGAAAUGGAAAGAAAACAACAGGCUUCAUAGCCCAGGGACAAGAUGAGUGCUCUGCAUGUUUGAUUUGAAAGAACAUGGAAGGAAUCAGAUUAAUGGGGUUUGAGCUUAGGGUUUUAGAACUGGGCAUUUCAAUUCCAGUGAUUGAAAGAGGAAAAUAGCAUGCUGGAUUCGCGAAUAGAGAGACAGAAGAGAUGAUUCAUAGUGUUUUCAAGUGACAUUACACAAAUUUGUGCAAGGGUUCUGAGAUUGAUGGUUGAUGGAGAUGAGAGAAAAGAGAGAGGAAAUGGAGAUGAGGGAGACUGGUCUCUGAGUGAAUGAUUAGGGUUUUGGGGGGAAUAGGGGGGUUGGUUUCUAGGUUUAAGGACGAGAGGUAGAACGCGAGCCGAUGGAUCUGUUAAUCAACGGCUCCGAUUAUUUGAGUAAUUGAAAAUUUAAAAAUAAUUUAAGUGGGAAAAAUCGGUGGCCAUUGGAUUACUUUGAUUGGAUGAUUGAGAUUAGAUCUAUGGUUGUUUAAAUUAAAGAGAAAACGGAGACCAAUUGUGAGCCAUUGAUCUGAGGAACAGACGGCUCACAUUCAUUGUAUUUCUUGUGUGAGUGUUAUAGAGAGGUGACGUGGCACGCGGUGAUUGGUGCAAAAGAGAUGGCACGGAUUGCCACAGCGGAAGAUGGGGUGUUUGGAUUGGGUAUAUUUCGGACUGGGCUUGAUAAUUGGGCUAAAAUAAGUUUAAGAAAUGGUCAUUUUACAUUUGAUUGAGAAUUGCAAUUGUAGCCAUUUUGUCUUUUAAUCCCUUUUCGAAUUUAAUUUAGGUAAACUUAAUAAUUUUCAAUAAAUGUGGUAAAAAUUAUAAUUACUAUAUAUACUACUAAUUAUUUUAAUUAAUUAUUUAAAAAAUACUUUGUUUUCUAAAUUGAAACAAUAAUUUCGAAUUUCACAUAAUAGUCUAAUUAACUAGAAAUUAAAGAGUAAUUCAUUAAAUUAAUUAGAGAACCUAUGUAAUGUAUAUAUAAGAAUUAUUUUAACAAUCUUAAAAUAGUACCAUUCAGAUCUUGGAGGAUAUGCUGAGAGCCUACAUCAUUGAUUUUGGAGGCCAGUGGGAUUAGUUCCUACCGUUAGCAAAGUUGCUACAACAAUAGCUACCAGUCGAGUAUCAGAUGGAUCCAUACGAGGCCUUAUAUGGGAGGCGAUGUCCUUUUCAGAUUGGUUGGUUUGAGCCUGGGAAGGCUAGGUUGUUGGUCACUUAUCUAGUUCGUGAUGCUUCGGAGAAGGUGAAAUUGAUUCAGGAACGGCUUCGUACAAUGCAGUCCAGGUAGAAGAGUUAUGAUGAUAGGAGGGUUUACGAUGUAGCUUUCAUGAUGGGUGAGAGAGUUCUUCUCAGAUUAUCUCUAUGAAGGACGUGAUGAGGUUCUGGAAAAAGGGCAAGUUGAGCCCUCGAUACAUUGGUCCAUUUGAGGUUUUGGAGAGAGUGGGUGAAGUGGCUUACCGGCUUGCUUUGCCACCUAGCUUGUCGAGAGUUCAUCCGUUAUUUCAUGUUUCCAUGCUUCGGAAGUAUCAUGAGGAUCAGUCACAUGUGUUAGAUUUUAGUUCGGUGCAAUUGGAUAAAAACUUGGCUUAUGAGGAGGAACCAAUGGACAUUUUGGACAGGCAGGUUCGAAAGUUGAGGUCGAAGGAUAUUGCAUCAGUAAAGGUUCAACGGAGAAGUCAACUGGUCAAGGAGACGACUUGGGAGACUGAGAAUGAUAUGCGGAGCAGAUAUUCACAUAUUUUUUUUCCUUCCAGGUAUGUUUCUAAACUUGUUCGAGGAUGAACGUUUGUUUAACAAGGGAAGAAUGUAACGACCCGGCCGGUCAUUUUGUGUAUUUGAUCCACGUUUUCCUAUUUGAUGCUUCCUAUAUGCUUCUUUUUUAUUUUGUGACUUGCGAGGAUGGUUGGUUUGGUUUCGGGGAAGUUUAGGAUUGAAUUAAAAUAUUUAGUUCCAAGGUUAGAAACUUAAGUUAUAAAAGUUGAUCGAGGUUUGACUUUUGUAUAAAUAACCUCGGAUUAGUAUUUUGAUAGUUCUAAUAUGUUCAUAUGGUGAUUUUGGACUCCAGCGUAUGUCUGGAUUUGGAUUUGGAGGUUCCUAGGUUGAUUUGGUUGUAUUUGGCGAAAGUUGGAAGUUGAAGGUUUGGAAGGUUCAUAGUUUUACCGAGAGUUGACUUUGGUGUUAUCGGGUUCAAACUGUAGUUCCGGGAAUUGGAAUAUGUUCAUAAUGUGAUUUGGGUAUUGUGUGCAAAACGGUCAUUCCUAGUUGGUUAGAUAAGGUUCGAUAUGAGUUUUGGAAGUUAGAAAUUUAAUUAGUUUACUAGGCUUGAAUUGAGGUGCGAUUUGUAGUUUUGAUGUUAUUUUGUAAGAUUUGAGACCUCGAGUAAGUCCGUGCUAUAUUUUGUGAUUGGUUGGUAUGGUUGGACGGGGUCCCGUUGCACCUUGGGUGUGUUCGGGUGGUUUAGGACCAUUUCCAUGAAUUUUGGACAUCAAAUUUUUGCUGGUGUCUGAUGUCCUUCACAUUCGUGUAGAAGCAUCGUGUUCACGAUGAAGGAAUUUGGGAGCUGGGAGAUUUUCUCUUCGCAUUCACGGAAGGCUGCCGCAUUCGCGAAGAAGGGAGUGGUACUGGGCAGCAGGCCUUCGCAUUCGCGAGGCUACUGGGCGCAUUCAGGAAGGGAGAGAGCCUUUGGUCUUCGCGUUUGCGAUGCUCCUAUCGUGUUCGCGAAGGAGGUUUUGUUCUGGCAGUGAUUUUGUGCUUCGCAAACACGAGGCACGUGCCGCGUUCGUGAAGGGUUUAACUGGGCAGUCUUUUAAGAUGUCUUUUUGGGACUUUUACUCAUUUUAUCAUAUUUUGAGAUUGAGAGCUCGGAUUUGGGCGACUUUUUAGGCGAUUUUCACCACUCGAAUUGGGGUAAGUGUUCUUGACUCAGAUUUGAUUAUUAUUCAUGAGUCUACCUUUGAUUUUUGCAUUUCAUGGGUGAAACUAAAAGAGAAUAAUUAGGGGUUUUGGAAAAACUUUUUUAAAGUGAAAAAUGGAGAUUUGAACCCCGAUUCGUAGUCGGUUUUGGAUGAAACUUAUAUAUUUGGACUCGUAAUGGAAUGGGUAUUCGGGAUUUAUGAAUUUUGUCGGGUUUUCGGAGGCGGGCCUGGGUUGACUUUUUGGUUGACUUUGUGAAAUUCAUUAAAAAUUCAAUCUUUAUUGUUUGGGUUUGAUUCUAUGGCCUUGUUUGAUGUUAUUGAGGUGUACUUGGCUAGAUUCGGCUCGUUCGGAGCUCGAUUUGAGAGGAAAGACUAUUUUGGGAGAUUAGAGGCUACCAUGUAGAGGUAAGUCUCUUGACUAACCUUGUUAAGAGGGAAACCCCUAGGAUUUGACUUGUUUGCUAUGUGUUUAAGGGUAUUGGGGGUAGUGUAUUUACAUAGUGGCGAGCGUAUAUGCAUUUACCGAGUUUAUAUCAUGACUGGUGGUAGAAAUGGAAUAUUUCAUACUUUGUUUGACUAUGUGCUCAUUUGAUUCAUGAUUUAUUUAGCAUAUGUGACUACGUUUGCUCUCUUAUUCAUGUUAGAAAUCAUGCCUAGGCUUAUGAUUAAUUGUGAAGGCAUGAGAACUUAUUCUUGACAUGUUAAAAUGCAUAAUUAUCCGUAUGAUAUUUUAUUAACUUUGUGUGUAACUUUUAUAAAAAAUUCUUAAACUUAUACAUACAUUUUGAUUAAUGAAUACGUGAACCGGACUGAGGACUUUGGCACAAAGGGUAAGCAUGCGAGUGAGAUACAGUUUGGCACAUUGGAUUAAUGAUUAGUUAUUGAUUUAUGAGGGAUGCUAUUAUACCCCUCUUGCGCUUGGAUUUGGAUCCAUCCCUCCGAAGUCAGGUGAUAACUCAUGUUGCUUUGGGCCCUUUGAGCGUGGUCGGUACAUGGAUAUUGUACCGCAUCGAUACAUGGAUUUGUAUCGGGUUAUGUGAUACAUGGAUUGUGUAUUGGAGUAUAUGGAUCUUGCACUGGUUGAGCAUGCAUUCUUAUUAUUGAUUCGAUUUGAAGUAUUUAUCUCAUUAUAACUCGGACUUGGCCCUACUAUUAAGGAAGAUAAUAGCAUACACGGGCAAGAUAAUGACUAAUACUAUGCUACUCUAGCGCAACACGUCGCCCUCCUAGCAUAUCAAGGGCUCGUUCCACACGAGUACACCCUACAAGCCUCAACACUAGGGACCCGCUUUGAGCGAACACGACCUACUUCAAGCCCCAACACUAGGGACUUGCCCCGAAUGAGCAAGGGCAUUCGAUGCUAAAUAAACUUCCCUAACUAGAUACGCCAUACUAUAAUUUGCUGAAGCACAUAAGAAGGAUCAAAUAUAGGCCAAAAACCAAAACAUAUGCAACCUUCCAUAAAUACAAUACAAGAGUGCCUCAACCAAAAAACUAGAGAUUGUUUCUUACAUACAUACGUGCCCAAUAAACUAUGGGCAUAACAAACCACUACUAAAAGUCUUCAUUCAGGAUCCUCUAUUACUGCCUUCCCCUUCAAAUCACUGAUGCCUGAACCAGCACCCAAACUGCUCCCAAGGUCUAGCCUGCCACUAGCACCACUCCCGAAACGACCCAAUUCAUGGGUCAAUCGCUCAACUUCUACAAUGAGAGGGGUGAGCUCUAUAGCCUUUAUUGUCAGGCGUGAUGUAGCCUCGCCAACUCUCAUCAGAGCACGACUUUGAUCAACCAUGAUUCGAGUCAGCUUCGCCAAAUGCACUUGACAUAACUCACUCUUAGUCUUCUAUUGUACCUUCAAAUUAGCCACCCUUGAUUGUAACACAACCAUUGACUCCUCAGCACCUACUGCGAAAUUUCCAUGAUUGCCGACUUGGACAACCGCAAGAUCUGAUGGCCAAGAAUAUAUCCGCAAGAUCUGAUGGCCAAGACAAAGAGACCAAGAGGGAAAUACAAAAUUGCAAUGCAAACACAAGAUUAGAAAAUCAAACAAAUAGAAGGUCAAAGCAUAUGAAAGGAUCAUCACCUCUAGGGAAUGACACACCAUGUCCUCAAACAGUAGAUAUGGGGCAGUAGAUAUGGGGCAGAAUCCUUUUGUCUCUCCAAGACUUUUCAACAAGAUCAAGUGUUGGAGGGUGCCAAGUGAGUCAAGAUCUGAUUCGAAACACCACCUCAUCCUUUAACAAGGAUUGAAGUACAUGCCCUUGAAGAAGAUAUCAUCGCUCAAAUUGUCGAUACCACCAAGAGAGGCAAAAGGUCAGAAUAAGUUGUCAAUAAAGGAAAAGAAGUAACAAACAAACACUCUCAAAAGUAAAGGCAUUAGGUGCGGCUAGUGGAGAAUGAGCAUCAUCAGAAGGCGUAGCCACCACCGCGGAGGAAAAGGGUAAACUUGAGGGGAUGAAAUUCGAAAUGAGAACAAGAUUUAAAUCACCCUGAGAAGAAAGGAACCUAAAGCGGUUGGCAGAAAUGUCACUUUGGACGCGCGCUUUUUUUUUGCCGGUUCACCCUCAGUGAAAACUAAGGUUGCUCUCUCCCUCUUUUCUUGAGCCAGGCGGUGUAACCCAUCCAUGCACAUUGAAAGGCGAAGAACAUGCCUGUUUUUUCUCAUCCUUGAAUCUUUGAGCCAAUAGGAUUUUGGUCCCUUGAUCUGAUAGCUAGCGCUACAACGAUACUAGAAAAAGAAUAAUCCACGAGUAUGAUGGAAUUGAGUUUCCUCACCCACUUCUUGGUGAAUUCAGUUAAGCGCACCUCAAUAGUUGAAGCUGCAAAGUAAGAGUAUGAUAUUAGCUUGUUAGGUAUUUAAGAAAAAUGAGGAGAAAAGUGAAAAUACUCGCAACAGAGGUUAAACUGGAUCCUCAAAGGAGACUGUCUAGGUGCAAAUAGAGAAGAUAGCCUGAUGAAAAUAAAGUCCCCCCCACCAUUGACUUUUCAGUGAAUCCCUACGAUCAGAAAAUGCAAUCCUAGGAUAAGGGAUAGGGAACACUUCAUCAAGUGAGUAGAACCUCCUCUCUAGUUAAGUUAUGCAAAAAAAUGUGAAACCCUCACUAUAGAGUUUUACACCUGCUACAUCAUUCCUAUACUUCAGGAAAAUGGCUACCCUUCAUACUUUGGGUGACAAUUAUGCCAAAGCCAGACUACGAUCGAAGCAAAUUUUGUGGAUAAUCAAACCCAAGGAAAGUUCAAAGUUAAAGGAGAAAUGAUAUAAAGGUAGAGCAAUACAACCUUCGACCGAAGACCACAAUCUUUCAUUUGGAUUUGAAGCCCCCAUUUCAAUUCCUACCAAUGGUAAAUAUUAUUUGUAAAAGAAAAGGAAGGUCAUCGUCCAAAAUCAAUAGAGGAUCGUCAGUCAUAAAUAUAGGAUUUAGAUCCACGGAGGGAGCUGGAGGAUCCGAGAUAUCUUCAUAAAAGAAAGCGUAUUCAUCUUAAUCAAAAGUCAUGCGAUAAGUUUCACUUUCUAGUAGCCUGGUCGAUGAUCCUUUAUGGAAACAUACUGUAAAAGUGAAAAAAUAUAAAAAAUAAAAAGUAAAAAACUCACAUGGAAGUGCUAAUACCCUGAAAAGAGUGGUAAUUCCUGAAAAUAUUAUAUAAAAAGAGUCUGAUGGAGAAAUCAUGUCAAAGCAAGAUGAUCAUAAUAACUCUGAUAAUCGAAUGGAUGUGGCUACAUCACAGUAGCACCCUAUUCCUAUCAAUGGGAGACACAUCUCCCCAUGAUUCAAAAUGAAACACAUUUUUGCUUUGUGACAUCUUAUCCACUUGUCAAGGAGAAUAUGAUUUUGCCUUAGCAAUUGAGGGGACUAACUGUAGUGGUCAAAAAAUUCACUCUCAAAGUGCCUUGAACACAUGAUCUUUGACCUAAUCCACUGUACAACCCAAUACCUAAUACAAACAUCCCUACAGAAAGACCCUCAGCCUAUGGCCCUACCUACAACUCAACUUGCUAUACUAUCAAUUUUUAAGGCUUAUGACCCCAAUCAUUGCAGAAUAUGGGCCUUGGCCCCGCAUGUUACGCUCACACGGGCCAUGACUUCAUAUUGCUUGCUGCGUCUUGAUCCACUAUAACUCACUUUGACUAGGUCUAAAGGGAUAAGACGCACGUCCAACAACCUCCACAUAUAGUCUUUGCGAUGAUCAAUGGAUGAAAUAUUGGACCCAACAAUUAAGUUAGCUUAACUAACUAACCGAAAGUCCUACAAGUCAGUCGUAGAGUCCAAGCACCCGGUCUACUAUAAAUAUUGGGUGAAGGACCAAGCUUCAAGGCCAUUCCAACUCAACUCAACACAGCAUGAACGAGCUCCCAACCUAUCCCUACUAGUCUUUAUUUUUCUUGUCUAAACACUUAUACACAUUAUAUUUUUUAUUGUUAAAUCUCUUCGGAGCUUAUUGCUUGUACCUUCAUUAUAUAGAUACUAGCUAGCUUGGCUGCAACCGAACCUCCCCGGAAGCAGCACUGUACUACGUGAAAUCGGGCAUGAUUAAUAAAAUUACUCUCUCAUCUUUCUCUCUAUUUUACGUUCUGCCAUUUCAUAUCAUUCAUCUUUGUUUUACGCGCAUCAAAUAUAGGCCUUGCUCCAUAAUUAACGACCGAGCAGAAUUUAGCCUCUACAGUGUCCUUUACUCUUAUGUCUUGACUUUUUAUAAUUGUGGUUAUUUUAAUAUAAUACAUGUCAUGUACCUGCUAUAUAAAUGUUAAAUAGAGAUCCUAGCUUUAAAUAGCAAUAAUGAGGCACCGAGGAGUUUAAAAAUGAAAAAAGUAACAAUAAAAAGGAACUGAGAAGGAUUUUGGGAAAGAGAUGAACAGUAAUAAUAUGAAAAUAAAUAUAUAAGGCAUCUUUUAUUAUUUGCGAAUUUGUAGGCAUAAAUAAAAUAGAGAAAAAGGACAUACAAUCUGAGAAAAAAGAUAAAAUACGUCAUGACUUAUGAGAGGUAUUAUGUCACCCUUUAUGACAUAUGAAAUCUUGAUAGUCUAAUUAUAUGUUACACUAAUAUCUUUAAUCAAAUACUACAUUAGACUACUUUAUGCGAUAUAUUAUGUUAUAGAUUAUUUUCCUAAUAUUUUUAAUGAAACAACUCCUCAGGGAAUUUUGUUUUAUUGGUCUUUUAUUUGAGGCUUUUCUUUCUGAGAAAUAUAGGUCCUAUAGGGUUACUCUAAAAUUUUCGUUUGCAUAUUUGUGCUAGAAAGCUUUUUUAAAAUUUUCAUUUAUUAUAAGGGGAGGGUAAAGGGAAAGGGAAAAUCGGGAGGGGACUGAAAGCUCAAUCGAGUAUAUGACAUUUGAAUGGGUUGAGGCACUGAGUAAUAAUACUAGGUCGAAUAAGCGGGUAUAGGUGACCCGAAAAAUAGAAUCGAAUAACCCGCUGACACUUGUUGUCUAACCAUGGAUGGCACUCCAUUAUGACAGUGUUCUAGGGCACACAGACGAAGUGCAAAGAGAGCAAAAAAAUGCCGUUCAUUUCGAAAAUAGAGAGGCAAUCAGAUUACAGUUCCUUCAGCUCUAGUUGCCCCAUUGUCAUUGACAACGGCGCUUCCUAUUUCCGUGUUGGGUAUUCAUCCCUAAAUUCCCAAAUUCUCUCUGUUCUUGAGACUUUUUUCCGUUUUAUUUAGCUUCGGAUUUGUCAAUUGACAGGUGGGCAGGAGAGAAUGACCCUCGCGUAAUCUUUCGAAACAUUGUUCAGAGGCCUCGCCACAAAACGACUGGUAUGCUUUUUUUUUUCUUUUUUUUUUUCCAAUUGAGGUCAAGGAGAAUAACAAAAAUGAACCACAUUUUCAUGAUUCUAUACAAGACUGGGGAGAUUUUAAAUUAUGAUAGCUGAUUGAGAAGGACGGAUUUGCAUUUAACUUCUUAACUUCAGAAUGUGUUGACCGGUUGUCUCCAUAGAUAUGUUAGCAUUUUCACCUGCUUGGAUUGCCUCUAAACUUCUAUCUUGUUAAAUGUUAAUCCUCUGGCUUUUACUUUCUUUUGAUAAGUGAACGGAACAUUCAGAAGGUUAACUUAACACCUCUUAUGAAAUUUUCACAAACUUUUUUUCCCAUGAAAAAGAAAUCAUUUUUCUGUUUUGGAAUACUUUACAGUAUGAAUUCAUGUACUUUGAUUUCAUUUUCCUCUUUUGAUUUCUUUUCUGAGUGCUCAAUACUCAAAAGCAAAUGCACAACCCAGAUAGAAUUGCUUGGUUCCUAUGCCAUUAUACAUGGAGGUUGUGAUUGAGACCAUAACCAUGUUGUAUUCCGGUCAUUCUUAAAGCUGCAUAAGCCCAAUUUUUUUUUUUUCGGGGGGGGGGGNNNNNNNNNNNNNNNNNNNNNNNNNGGAAAUCAGAAAAGUCAAGAGACUCAAGGCCAUGAUAAUUUUUUGUUUUCUUGAGAUUCAUGGAUAUAACGAGGAGUCUGUUAACAGGGGCAGAUGCCUCCUUCUUCGCAAAAGAAUACUACGAAGGAGGAAAAGUAAGAGAAAGUUUAUUAAUUAGGAGAAAUGGUAGACCCAGUUUUGGUUAUCCAAAAAAAUUAGUAGACCAGGGUUUUCUAGUACAUAGUCUUUCCUAGGUGGCAUUGACUUUUCAUUUGCUUUAAUGCACUAUAGUAGAACAGGCUGACAUGUGUAUUGGUGCUCUGCUUAGGUCCUUCAGAAUAGACUCUAAACUGCUGAAAAUUGAAAGUACCCAUAUCGGUGCUUACCUGUACCCUUGUCACAAAGAUACCUGUCUGAGUCCCUAUGUUAAACUUUUAUUCCUUGCUUAUGAGACGCUUAAGUAGCUGCUAUAUUUGUUGUUUUUAGCAGUUGUUUUUAUUUCUAGUCCCAGAAUGAUAAACUUUUGCAAGCAUGUUCUUGGGAAAAUGAGAUAUUAUCUUUUGAUUUUCUUAUGAGAUGCUUAACUUUAAGUUCCUCAUUACAGUUUCAAAUAAGGCAUGAAUAGUAGUUAGAUUUGGUAUAUUAGAAUCUUGCCAUUUUGCUUACCUGGUCGCUCUUAUUUAUUUGUUGGUAAGUUCAAUUUAAAGGUGCUUUUUUUUCUUCUUAAAAACAAAAAAACUAGUAGUUAAAAGGUAUUAUGAGGGUAAAGGAAAAUUUUGGUCCUUGUGAAUAGUGAAACUAAAUGGAAUUAAGCGAUAAUGUUGAAUUUCGAUAAUUUCCCUUGUUUAAACAUCUAGGAUGCACGGCAUGCUUUCAUGAUCAUCCAUUGAUGUUUUUAUUUCUAGUCCCAGAAUGAUAAACUUUUGCAAGCAUGUUCUUGGGAAAAUGAGAUAUUAUCUUUUGAUUUUUUUAUGUGAUGCUUAACUUUAAGUUCCUCAUUACAAUUUCAAGUAAGGCAUGAAUAGUAGUUAGAUUUGGUAUAUUAGAAUCUUGCCAUUUUGCUUACCUGGUCGCGCUUAUUUAUUUGUUGGUAAGUUUAAUUUAAAGGUGCUUUUUUUUUUUCUUAAAAACAAAAAAACUAGUAGUUAAAAGGUAUUAUGAGGAUAAAGGAAAAUUUUGGUCCUUGUGAAUAGUGAAACUAAAUGGAAUUAAGCGAUAAUGUUGAAUUUCGAUAAUUUCCCUUGUUUAAAUAUCUAGGAUGCACAGCAUGCUUGACAUGCUUUCAUGAUCAUCCAUUGAUGUCUAUCCUUGAUGUGCAUGUUAGUGUUUUCAAAAGCGAAAAGUGCUAAAAGAUCCAAAGGAGAAGCGAAAACGGGGAAGCGAAGCAUUGUUGAAGUUAGGCGCAAAGCUACAUAAAAUUGAAAAAAUGCCAAACACAUAUGAAUUUAGUACUAUAAUAAUGUAAUUGCAAUUAAAAUAACUAACAAUAUUGACGAUAUUAAUCCAACUCCUCAACUUUAUCAAAAAAUAAAAAUAAUAAUCCAACUCCUUAAAAUUGAGAUUCAAAUAGCCGACCACUUCUUAUUAGGAUCACUUUGCGAAUCAUUGUUUAAAGUGCAAAUUUCUCUAAAGCAUGACUUCAUCAAUGAAGUAAUAACCCCUCGCUUCGCAUCACCUCAUCACUUUAAGAGACAAGCGAUGUCUUUUAAUAACACAUGUCAAAUGAGAAUGACAUGAGUAUGGAUUUUGGGGGCUCCUUCAAAAUAGACUAAAAAGCUUUAAAAGUUGAACACACCCAUUUUGGAUACCUAGCAGUACCUUUUCUAGAUGUAUACCGUCCGUAAGUCCAUGUAGCGUAGAUUGAUGUUCUACCAAAUUUUAUUGCUCCACUUAGUUAUGGAAGAAAAGAAAAUAAAGUUGUCACCUUAGGUUUUGUUCUUAAACUUCAUAACUAUGGCUAAAUGUAUACACAAGGAGGUAUUUAAGACUUGAUCCUUAGUCCUUACGAGUGCUACCUAACUGGAAUAAACACAUCCUCGCAAGGAGCCUAGGACAGAGUCAAAGAUAUAAGUUGGUGAAUCUAAAAUCUCCUUUACCCAAUCCUAAGAAAACAAUGCACUAAAUCUUGAUAUGCAAUUAUGCACUAACUUAUCAUGGAGACUAUAUCUCAAUUAGAAAGAUGCAUUUGAAAGUAUUAAUUCGACCUACUCUUCUAAAAAAAUAGUAUUAAUACGACCUACUAAACCUAUGAAAUGUCUUCCUAGUGGCUUUCUUUUGUUCAGUUAAAAUUUGAUUUAAACAGUCACAUAAGGGGCAAAAUUAACAAUUUUUUUAUCAUUUCAGAUAAAAAAGCAGGUUUGGUUGUUCAAGGGAACUUCCAACCUCCAAUGAGAGUUAGGACAGGGUAGACAAAUGUGCAAGUUAAUUCCUUGAAGAAACAAUACCUCUCUUUUGAUGAAAGACUCACUUUAAUUAACAGCGUGUUGAAUGGGAUUCUCACCUGCAUGAUCUCAUUAUUUCAUAUUCCUUUAUUAGUAGAGAAGAAAAUAAUAUGAGAAGUCAGUUCUUAUGGGAAGAAAAUGUAGAAAAGAGGAAGAUGCAUUUAGUAAAACUGCAAGCUCUCAUGAGAAACAAGAAAGGUGUACUUUGGGUGUGAAAAACUUGACCUGUUGUUUAAAUGGCUUUGGAGAUAUAAUGAGGAUGACAAACAACUCUGUAAGGAAAUAAUUAUUGUCAAGUAUGGUAGGAAAGACUUCUGGUGUCUUUGCCCUGUUUUAGCUGCAGGAGUUGGUUUAUUAAAACAAAUAUGUAAAUUGUCGCCAGAAUUUCAGCAAAACAUAAGAUGGAAGGUUGGUAUUAGGUGGAUAGAUUUCAUAUUUUGUAUAGCUUAACCACCGACAAAUACUGUACAGUGGCAGGUUGCUUUACUAACUCAGUUUAGCAGCUUACCUUUAGGAGAAAUUUUGAUGAUUGGGAGGUAGAAGUUAGUCAAUUACUGCACUUCUUGGAACCUUCACCCUUGAUGUUAACAGGUUGGACUCUCAGAUCUGCACAGCUAGUAAAGAAAGGAAAUUUUCUGUCAAAAGCUGUUGCAGACUAAUUUAGAAACGAGUUGGCCAUUGGGACUUAACUUGGUGUUGGGCCAUGUUUUGGAAGCUAACGCACCAUGAAAGGCUGCUUGCUUUGGAUGGGUUGCUGCCUUAGAUGCCCAAGACAGGCUACAGGACAAAAGUUUUGUUUUAUGUAGCAGAUGCUUUCCUGUGAGGAAGCUCAAGAAUCUGCAAGUCAUCUUUUUUCUUCACUGCAGACAAACAAGGUAGAUUUGGGAAUUUUUCCCAAGUCUUUUUGGUGUGCAAUGGGUGAUGCCUCUAAGUAUUAAAAACUUAUUAGAGUGUUGGCAGGGUCAGAGAGUAUGCAGAAGAUUGAAGGAGAUAUGAAAACCCAUUCUUCUACAUAUCAUGUGGACUAUUUGUUUAGGAAGAAAUAAGAGAUGUUUUGACAGCCAAAGAUAUCAUACUUCUGUUGUAAACAAUAGAUGUUCACAAAACUUGUAUUUUGAUGCAGGGAUAGCAUGUAAGGGAUGGCAUGUUAAAAGGCACCUCAAUAUCAUCAUCUUUCAUUUUUCCUUUCUUAACCUUCCCAUCUGUUGGAGUAAUUCUUUUCAGUCUGACAUUAUGUGAUAGAAGUGUUUGGUCAAAGCUCAAAAUAACUCUUCAUAGAUAAACCGGACAGCUUUCAACUCACACCAUCUAACUUGUAUCUUCCCGUAUAACAACGAUGUUUAAUUUUCUCUAUCUGUGUCUGUUCUGCAUAAUUGGAACACUAAUAAUCUGAGUCAUUAGGCUGGUUAUAUUAUCCUAUGUGAUCGACCUCUCUGCCUUGCGUGAAGGAUAGAAGUGAUACUAAAGGCGUGUUUGGUUAAGAUAUUAAUCUUUUACUGAUCAUGUAACUAAUUGAUCAUUUGGUAGUUGAUUGAAAAAUGAUCACUCUUUUGGAAGCAAUGUAGAGACCAGUUUGGAUGUUGAGUUUACUUUUUUUUUUGAUAAGGUAAGUGAAAUGUCAUUAAAGGCAUCAAGAAGAUGCAAAGAUUACAAAAGAAGGAAAAUGCCAGCUCUAAUACAAAAAGACUAUAAGGCUAAGGGGCUGACAAAAUCCAGAAACAUAUCAUAGUUAUUUACAGGAGAAAGAUUCACCCAACUAAAAAGGUUAACCAAACAUCUAGCUUUUAGAUAGCUUCUAGGAGUUGAAAUACCAUCAAAACAUCUGUGGUUUCGUUCAAUCCAAAUGCACCAAAAGAUACAGGCAGGCACCAUGAGCCAGAUGUGCUUGAUGGCUUUGUCAACUCUCCGGAGACCCCAUGCUUCAUAGAGCUCUCUGACUGAAUUAGGCAUAGACCAGUUCAGUCCAAAGAUGGUUAAGAACAUGUUCCAGAUAUCUGCUGCUACUGUGCAAUGAAUGAACAUGUGUGGGAUGGACUCUGAACUUGUGUGGCACAUAUGGCAUCUAUUGGCUAGUUGGAAACCUCUUCUGAUAAGGUUAUCCUGGGUUAAGCAAGCUCCAUUUAAUACUAUCCAGCAAAAGCACAUAACCUUUGUGGGAAGUUUAGUCCUCCAGAUUAAUUUCCAAGGCUAUAAAUCUAUUAGAACUUUGUUGGAGCUCUCUGCAUAGGCUGCUUUAACUGAGUAUACUCCAUCUCUAGUAUUACCCCACUUCAAUCUAUCUGCUGCUUGGUUGUUCACUGGAUGAGACUCCAAACUUCCAAGAAGAGCCAUUAGGUCAUCAAUUUCCCAAUCCUGCAGGUGCCUUCUCAAAGAUGGGCUCCAAGUGUUGCCCUCCCAAUACUGUAAUUUGUAAUUUGACAAGUGCUUAAUAAUCCAUUUAUGAUUAAAAAUAAUCCAUAAGAUUAUGGCCUAGAGGUCAAUGAAGUUGAAAUGGACCAAGGGAGACCAGGGUUCAAAUCCCCAUAGAGCUACCCGAUUAUACCUGUGCCGGUGGGAGGUAGUAGGCACUUGGUAGAUUUGUUGAGGUGCGAGCAAGCUGAUCUGAACACUAUCUUAUUAAAAAUAAAAAAUUCUACGACGAUCAGAUCGUAGAAAAGUUUGGUGAAGAAAUGAUCAAAAUUACUUCUUGCUAAACAACACUUCUUAUGACCAUGUUUUUAAAUAGUCAAGGUGCGUGCAAGCUAGCUUGGACACUGCCAUUAUCUCGAAAAAAUUCCAUAAUGAACAAACUGUAGUGAAGAUUGGUGAAGAAAUUAUCAAAAUUACUUCUUGCUAAACAACACCUACUAUAAACAUGUUUUUAAAUAGCGAAUGCAUAUAAUGCAUCAUCAUUUGAUUGGUGAAUAUUGGCUUCAAGUUUUGUUAUGUUCUUAUCAUAUUGCAGGUGAAACAGUAACAGUUGUCGGUGAUCACAAUCCUGCACUACUGAAGUACUUUGAUUGCACGCGUUCAGGACCUCGUUCAGCAUUCGAGAGCAAUGUUGUUUAUCAGUUUGAGAUAAUGGAAUAUGUAAGACUUCUAUUUGGUGGGAUUCCACUGGGUGGUUGUUGUUGUUGUUGUUGUUGAGUUUGUAAGCUUGACCAUGAAAUUUGUGAUGAGUAAACUUUAUUCCCAACUCUCUCCCCCAAAACAGAGAAAGAAAUAUCAACGACCUACCAGAGCAUGAAAGCUAGUUGAGCUGACAAUUUAUCUAGACUUUAGGUCUAACUACUGUGUUCUAUGUUUUCAUUCCUAUUUUCAAGAGAGAAUACUCUCUCUGGAUUUUAACUAUAACCUCUUUGGGAUGUAAGGCCAAGGGGACAAGGCAAAUUCACGAUGUUAUUUUAGAGUGUCAAGACAGUGCAAUCUGACUAAGAUAUUGAUGCGCGGCCAAUUGUAGCGGAAAGCUUCUCGAUAAUGACUCGUUUUCCUCCUUUUGGCCGGCACUGAUGCCAUACAUGGCACUCUUGGUGUAAGUGAUAGUUGGAUCAUAUAUUUGGUUUAUGUGAUGCUAUGUUGCUAAGCAGAGUCUGACAUAUGAAACAUUGAUGAUUGUGGAUUAACUUGUCUUGCUGCUUUGUCUUGUUUGCAUUAAUCAUGUUACCAUUAUUCUUAUUAUCUUUUUUUCUGAAAUGGUACUCAUGUUACCAUUAUGUUCGCGGUUUGCUGUAUGUAGAUACUGGACUUUGGGUUUGAUCGAUUAGGUGCCGAUCAGUCACAGGUAUGUUUGCUUUCAUUCAAUUGUUACUCAGGAUGAUAGACGAAUCUGAUGCUAUUACAUUCAGCUUGGUUUAUUAAGAUUUGCUUGGUGCUUGCUGUCUGGAGUGAAGCUGUAAAAUCCUUGUUGUGGCCUUUGACUAUUGCUUCUGUUUGAUUAUUUGAUAUAAACUGUUUAUGUCGGUCAUUGAUGUUUUGAUCCUUGUCAAUUAUCAAAUUAUUCUAUCUUCUAUUUUUUCCCGCAGAAUUUUUAUCCAACUGUAUUUUCUGGGAAUAUUGUACAGGAUGCAAAUUGAUAUGCUAACACAGAAAAGAAAUAGAAGAAACAGCUCUACUCAGAAGCUAACGAUGAAUUGUAUCUUGCUGUACAUGGAUGCCAGCACAAUCUUUGUGCUGUGAUUUUAAUACAAAUAUUACUUUCUUUAAAAAAAAAAAAAGAAUUAGAAGAAACAUGGGCUAAGCAAGCAUCAUAUAAGUCCUUAUAGUUUUACUGACCUUAUGAUAUCAAUAUCAUCAGUUUACACAUUAAAGUAAAUUGUAUGGUGUGACACAGUUUUUGUUAAAGGAGAUUCUCUGACACUAUCCUCUUUCUCUUCUCUCUCUUUUUCCCUCUUGCAAGAGAUUCCGUGUCAAUUGAUGUGCCUCCGUAUCUAGGUUUUCUCGAUGUCAGUGGCUUAAACAAUUGGGUGAUGAUGUAUGUUGCAUAUGUAUUGCAUAUAUGUAAAUGAAAAGAUGCACUUCAGUUUGCAUACCUUUGUUUCUCAUAAUGCGUACAUACAUAUAUGCACAGAGAUACCAAUACUUGAGCUAAUUUGCCUACAAUCCAUUUUUAUACUUCCAAACUGGUUAUUACGGCAUAGAUUAUGGUGCAUAGCAUGUAUGUUUGGGAUUCAGUGGGUGAUCUGAGGGACGGUCAGAGAGUUACUACCCUAAGAUAAGGAGAAAACGGGACUGGACUCCUCUGGCGCUUAUGUGAACAAUAUAUAUAUAUAGAGAGUAUAAGGCUGUUGAAAAUUCUUUUGUACACAUGAACGAAACUUUCUUUUUUUACAGUGUGAAGUUCUGGAGCCCAUAUGAUAUUCCAGUGAGCAUGACUAAAUGCUCUUUCUAAAGAACAGUCUCUUUGGUAGAAUUCUCUAUGUAUACAUCCACAGUUUUCCUAUCAUAUCAGUAGAACCAUUACCUUUAUUGAGAACAAAAUAAGUUGGAGCGGCAAAGCUAAGAUGUUUAAGAUAUGGUGAAAUACAGACCUUUCACUUUUUGCCCUUUUCUUCAAACGUAUCAUGUCCAUCUAAUUUUGCGCAUUUACUUUCUGCUGCAUAUAUCCUGUUAUUAAACUUCAGCUUGUAGUCCCUUAAACCAAUUCUUAUUCCAAUUCGGUGGCAGGACAGAUCGACCAUCCUAUCUUAAUUACUGAAUGUGCUUGCAAUCCAGUUCAGUCUCGUGGCAAAAUGGCUGAGCUUCUUUUUGAGUCAUAUGGAGUUCCUUCAGUAGGUAUGAACACCUAUAUCGGUUGCCUGGAGCUGUUUGCAUUGCUUUGGAUUCUAAUGUUGUUAAAGUUGUGUGGCACGCUUGCAGUCAUGCCAUUUUUUUUGUCAUCCUAAAGAUUCCUUUGUUUUAUCUUGAUCUUGUUGAAAGUUCUUGCAUGUAUGACAAUAUUCACUUGGUUCACUUCUCACCAAACAACAGUUCGUGGAUUUGAUAAUUAAGAACAUAACUUUCUGUGGCGUUUAUGUGCACUUUUUGCUCACAAUAGUCGCUUUUUUUUAUAUUGCAGCAUUUGGUGUAGAUGCUGCAUUCAGCUAUAAAUACAACCAACAGCUUGGAAUUUGUAAAGAUAUUGGUCUUGCAAUCAGCUCAGGAUUUACUACAAGUCAUGUCAUUCCGGUAUGCUUUAGAGGCCUAUUAUGCAGCUUUUAUGAAUUAGCGGUGGUAUUAAGAUAAUUGCAUGAUAAAAUUUGAUUUAAGGUUAAAAAUGCAUUGUACCCCGUGUUUUAAAAGGCGUUUUCGGGGCGAGUCCCGGGGAGAGGCGCACCAAAAAUGCCCCGAGGCGAUGGUGUGGGGAGAAAGUCUCAAGAGGCGUACGCCCGGGCGUUUGAGGCACAUUUUUGUAGUGAGGCGUAAGCCUCAGAGACUUUUUCAAAUUAAAACAAAAUUUGUUGAGUACGUCCUUCAUAUAAUACCCAAAUUCUCAAAAGUCAGCUUAUAAUUACUCAAAAGUUUUAAAAAGGAACUAAAAUGUAUUAAAUUUAAAAGUCAAGACAUUUUUUAUUGAUUGAAGCCCUAAUUUAUGGUCUUUUCCAAUUCUUUAUCUUGCCCGCUAGUCUGUUAAUAUCUCCCAAAAGCAUCGAAUAUUCAAUUUUUUUUUACAAAUACAAAUAGAACUCCAUUCUCCUUCAUAACAGCAAGUUCAAAGUUUAAUUGCAGGUUAGUCAUCCUUUUUGUUCCACCAUGUAGAGAACUUUAUUUUUUUCGACUCAAGUUACUUGUGCUUGUAAGUAUAAUAGAUUGUUUUUGACUAGUUUUUUGUGGGGAUGGAGCACAUCUAUAUAUAUAUAUUUCACAUAUUUAUAGUUUUCUUCAAUUUUUAUGCAAUUUUACUUGUUUAUAAAUAUUUACUGUAAUUAUAUUAUUUUAUAAAAUAUUAAAAAUUAAAUACCCAUGGGGCUUAUGCCCCGUGCCUUGGGGCUUACGCCUCGCUGAGGCAUAUGUAAAACGUCUCACCUUACGCCCACGCCUUUUAAAACACUGAUUGUACCUUAUCAAUUUAGAAAGAAAAAAAACAAUUAUGGGUAGUGUUAGCUUCGUAACCAUCUCGUCUAAAAGUUUAAACUGUCAGAGAGAAGUGAGAACACUCUUAUUUACUUAAUUAUAUCUUCAACAUGCCCCUCACAUACAGUCUUGAUUCUUUUUUUUGUAUUGAACCAAGCACGUAAGAAUUCUUUUUUAUCGUUAAAAGAUAUUUGCAUUAAAAAGUCAGCACGUAAAAAUUCCUUUGAAUAAAAAAUAAAAAGGAGAAACUGAAUGACAAUACUCGGUGAAAAAGAGAUAUCAAUCAGGUUGUAACUGAGAAUCUGAGAUAGUUCAAUUUCUCAACUUAUCUCUUGUAUCUCCUGUGUCUCCCAAACUAAGUAGUUAGAACUUUCAAGUAGCGGGUCCGAAUUAAUCAUUGGACUCGAGUUUCCGAGUUCCCUUUUUGGAACCAAAAACGUCAAAACAAAGCGACAUAAUGUUGGAUUGAAGAGAAUUCUAACCAAAGUAACAUACCACAAAAUAUAGUUUAAAGGUUGAUCAGAGAGUAUAUUUCAGAGAAUGGUAUUAGAUUUGCUGGGAAAACUCGUCGGUAAACGACCGAAGAGCUGCUUUUCUGUUUGAAACUGGCUGGAGAAUCAAUGAGAAAUUCUGUAAACUGAAUGGGAGGAUGCAAUGGCACAGACGACUUCCACACUGACGGAAAUCUGCAGAAAAGUUGCCAGAGAAGAGAUAUCUGGUUGGUAAACAUUCUGGAAAUCCAGAACCCUACUUCUGGUGGUCGGAAAUUGCAGGAAUUUAGAUGGGUGGAUGAACCCUAAGGAGUAGAAAUCUCCCUCAAAAAGUGGCCAGAAAAGGGGUUACCCACCGGUGUGUGAGAUUGACGCGUCGUGGGAAUUGGAACUGCCAGUGGCGUGUGGCGGCACACGCUGUGGUAUUUGGCGGAGCUUCUGCUGGGGUCGGUCACUGGAGGCUGAGCAACCCUGUGGUGGUGCCGUGGUGGUGAUUUUUGCACAAUACCGAUGGAAAAAAGAUUUUGACAUGAACAGCCCCUUAAGUCACGGGAAAGUUGCAUGGUUUCGAGUUUUUCUUGCUAGUCGCUGGUAUGUAGUUAUAUUUUCGGCGUGUGACCAUCUCUUCUAAACGUUUAAAUUGUUAGAGAGCACAAAUUUAUUUACUUAAUUAUAUUUUCAACUGGUAGGUUAUCACAUGUUAAAAGGUGUCAACCGUGCCCCUGUCCGGUGAUGCCAAUGUAAUACAACUAAGUGUCAUCUUUGAAAGAUAUUUUUCGAUUGGUGCCGGUCCCAGUAUGUGAAAGAGAUCAAUGUUAAGACCUUAUACCCUUUCAGGCUAAUUUCUGUUUGACAUAUCAUGAUGCAGUUUUUGCUAGCGGUAGGCUAUCAUUUCUCAUUAUAUGCUACUAAUAUAUGACAAUUUGUUGCAUUUUCAGUUUAUUAACGGAGAACCUGUCUAUGAAGCGUGCUGUCGAACUAAUGUUGGUGGAUACCAUGUUACUGAUUAUCUGAAGCAGCUUCUUUCACUCAAGCACCCUCAUCACAUGUAGGUGUUAAUAGUUUUUUGAAUUCAUGAUGUUGCUAUACUGCUUUGGGUGCUUUUCAGGCUUCAUCCUUGAAUGCUUAAACAGAUCAAAGCUUACAUGGGAAAAGGUUGAAGAACUGAAGAUGGAAUACUGUUACAUAGCCGCAGACUAUGCUUCAGAGGUUCAAUUAUUUCAGGUAAUUAGCACUUUUCUCUCGUCCUUCUGGUUUCCAGAGGUAAAAUAUUUGAUUCUAUUGUGACAGAGGGGGGAUAAGGAAGCUGAAGAAAAGACCAGAUGUUGGCAGCUUCCUUGGACUCCAUCACCAGCCGAUGAGCCUCCAUCAGAAGAAGAACUUGCAAGAAAGGCGGCUUUGAAGGAAAAACAAAGUCAAAGAUUGCGUGAGAUGGCUGAAGCGAAAAGAUCCUCAAAAAUAAAUGAACUUGAAAAUGAAUUAAAAGGUUUGGAAUUCCUCUUAGAGGAGCUCAAGGACACUGAGGAUGACCAAAUUGUGUCGUUCCUUGAAAGUAGAGGUUAUACUUCUAAACGUGAAGUGGAAGCUGCUUUUGCAAAAGUUACUCAAACACUUCGGAAGGCCAAGGGUGAGCAGGUUCCUAGUGACGAGAAAGCAGAUGCUUCUGCAGCUGAGAAGUAUUAUCUCAUUGAUAUACCUGAUGAAGAACUUUCAGCAGAGCAGGUAUGCACGUAAAUCUCCAUAUUGGUAGUGGUAUUUCUUGUCAGAUAAUACUUGAACUAGUUUAUUGUUGCAAUUGUCUCUUCCACCUCACUCUUGGCCAGCUUUGUGCAAAAUCAUCUUCCACUUAUUUUCUCGUUCAUUUUCUAUGUUGGACUUUUUAACUGACAAAUGAAAAUGUUGAAACUUCUUAAUAGCUCAAGGAGAAGAGAAGACAAGUGUUCNNNNNNNNNNNNNNNNNNNNNNNNNNNNNNNNNNNNNNNNNNNNNNNNNNNNNNNNNNNNNNNNNNNNNNNNNNNNNNNNNNNNNNNNNNNNNNNNNNNNNNNNNNNNNNNNNNNNNNNNNNNNNNNNNNNNNNNNNNNNNNNNNNNNNNNNNNNNNNNNNNNNNNNNNNNNNNNNNNNNNNNNNNNNNNNNNNNNNNNNNNNNNNNNNNNNNNNNNNNNNNNNNNNNNNNNNNNNNNNNNNNNNNNNNNNNNNNNNNNNNNNNNNNNNNNNNNNNNNNNNNNNNNNNNNNNNNNNNNNNNNNNNNNNNNNNNNNNNNNNNNNNNNNNNNNNNNNNNNNNNNNNNNNNNNNNNNNNNNNNNNNNNNNNNNNNNNNNNNNNNNNNNNNNNNNNNNNNNNNNNNNNNNNNNNNNNNNNNNNNNNNNNNNNNNNNNNNNNNNNNNNNNNNNNNNNNNNNNNNNNNNNNNNNNNNNNNNNNNNNNNNNNNNNNNNNNNNNNNNNNNNNNNNNNNNNNNNNNNNNNNNNNNNNNNNNNNNNNNNNNNNNNNNNNNNNNNNNNNNNNNNNNNNNNNNNNNNNNNNNNNNNNNNNNNNNNNNNNNNNNNNNNNNNNNNNNNNNNNNNNNNNNNNNNNNNNNNNNNNNNNNNNNNNNNNNNNNNNNNNNNNNNNNNNNNNNNNNNNNNNNNNNNNNNNNNNNNNNNNNNNNNNNNNNNNNNNNNNNNNNNNNNNNNNNNNNNNNNNNNNNNNNNNNNNNNNNNNNNNNNNNNNNNNNNNNNNNNNNNNNNNNNNNNNNNNNNNNNNNNNNNNNNNNNNNACAAACAUUCAGUAGAAUGGAUUAUUAUGAAAAAGGUGAAGAUUGGCUUCGUAGAUAUAAGUUCAGAUACAGGAUCUAAUUGUUCAAGUUGAAACUGAGAUUUUACAUAGGUUUAGUACACUCAGCGGGCUAUGUUAUAUAUGAAUAGUGGACCAUUAAGACCAUUUUAUACAGGAUAAUAUUGUGCUGUAUUCGUAAUGAAUGUGUUUCUCAACUUGCUUUUUAAGCAAUCUUUCUAUUGCCUGACGCCUUGAUCUUUCUUUUAAUUGUGCUGGUCCUUCCGACCUACACCCUUCCCACUCGAGCUGUCAGAUGGCAGAUAGGUAAUGGAUCACUCAUCAAUGUUUGGAGUGACAUCUGGC
Molecule: long non-coding RNA, 24102 nt
Filed under: Nicotiana tabacum (common tobacco)
Lineage: Eukaryota; Viridiplantae; Streptophyta; Magnoliopsida; Solanales; Solanaceae
Description: long non-coding RNA (NTAB_LNC017475)
Source: RNAcentral